CCCUUAGAUGUCCUGGGCCGCACGCGUGCUACACUGACGCCUACAGCGAGUACUUCCCAGCCCCGAGAGGUGGCUGGUAAUCAGCAAUAGACGUCGUGAUGGGGAUAGAUCUUUGGAAUUAUGGAUCUUGAACGAGGAAUGCCUAGUAAGCGCAGGUCAUUAGCCUGCGCUGAUUAAGUCCCUGCCCUUUGUACACACCGCCCGUCGCUCCUACCGAUUUCGAGUGGUCCGGUGAAUCUUUCGGACUGCGCGCGGCCUCGUGCCGUGUCGCGGAAAGUCAGGUAAACCUUAUCACUUAGAGGAAGGAGAAGUCGUAACA
RNAcentral lists this ribosomal RNA (319 nucleotides) under uncultured eukaryote. RNAcentral describes it as "partial 18S ribosomal RNA". It matches the Rfam family "Eukaryotic small subunit ribosomal RNA", at positions 1470 to 1796 of the family's 1831-position model. The record is from RNAcentral.